Molecule: long non-coding RNA, 772 nt
Filed under: Homo sapiens (human)
Lineage: Eukaryota; Metazoa; Chordata; Mammalia; Primates; Hominidae
Description: HSALNT0120123
Source: RNAcentral
UGAUCUUUAAGUAGAGGUUGCAGGAAGUUUGGGGAGUUGAUUGGUAGGACUGAGUAGAAAGCAGAAGUAACACAGGAGGUGGAGGUAAAGAGAAGAGAAAUUAAGAAGGAAAAUCUCAUCAAAUGACAUAUUUAAAGAUAAAUUAAUUAAAUACAGAAAAGGGUCUUUUACAUGCAUCGUUGGAUUGCAGUCUCAAGCCUGGGAUUCCAACGGAAUUAACGUCCAUUGAAAACUUACUGUGCUCAAGGCACAGAACGGGGUAGUUUUAUACACAUUCUCCCAUUUGGAUUUUUCAAAGACAACAUCUAAUCAUCCCCAGAGAAAUUUCAGCUGAGAAGACAGGAUGGUGAGACAGUUCCUAAGUCUUUCCUAGACACAAUUGUCUUUGCAAGUCCUCUGCCACAGUCAAAGGUUUCCAUUCUAAUUGCAGAUGAAGUGCCCUGGGGGCCAGAGUCCAGACAAGUAUUUUGGCACCUCCAAGGACUCGCAGAACACAGAGAGGAAAAGAGAGACCCUGUUAUCUUUCCGCAGGGGUGGCCGUUCAAACUCUCAGAGAUGGAAGUUAAGAUUUCCUUUGGUAUAAGUGGCAGUUUGACUGGCUGCAAGGAGAGCCUCAGUUUGUUUAAUUUGGAGUAAAAUUUUAUGAGUUAAUCUCUAGUGAGGGAAAGCAGCAGUAAACACAGAACAUACUGGUCAUUAUUCUAAGUAUUUCUACAUUCUUUCUCAUGCAUGAAAGGAGAAAAAAAGUCACAAAAAUGAGGAGGCAUGGUGC